AAAAGAUAUACAAAUUUAGCAGUUGCCAGUUAGUGAGCUUCUGUAGAUUGAACUCAUUAUCUCAUGAACAAUGGGACCCUAUUUUCUGGUCCCCCAUCAAUCACAACCAACCAACCAAAACCCAUGAACUCACUUCCACCAAGAGGGCAAUGCAGGCCCAUCAUCUAUCUCUUCUUGCCAGUUUUCUUGAUCUUGACCAUCACUUUGAACAAUUCAUCAGAAUAUGUAGCUCUCAAAGGGGUAGAGGUCCACAAAUCCCAGCAAGAUGUUACCCUCUACCUAUGCCAGGUCAAUCACCUAAACUCCAAAAAAAUAUAGCCCAAAAAAAAAGACCUCAUUGUUCUAGAUAGUCGUUGACAAGAGACGGUAACUUGGAAUCAUGUAAGCAACCAUUCAAAAUAAAAAGAUAGUUUUUUUUUUUUUAUUUGCAAAUUUUUUACACUGCAAGGCCGUAGGGGCAUCAAAAAAAACAAGGGGCCACGAAUACAUCUUAAGCCAAUUUUAAGGCAAAGACUAGGUAAACCUGAAUUUGCACUCCUCUUCACUAAAGAGAAAUUAAGCUGUCUAAAACAAGAGGCAUAAGAUAGAAUAGCACGAACCGUGGCCUUGAUUUCUCAAAGAAUUUCCAAUUAAGACUUUUGCACUGCUGAGAAGGGAAUUGUUGAAUCAGUUUCCAAAAUAAUAACAGGGGCAGCCAUUGAAAGCGCCAGUUGAACUCCUUCCAGCAUGGCCCGUGCUUCCUCUGCUAACGGUGAGUUGCAACACGCUAUAUUAGCCACUCCAUCUAGUAACUCACCCCUAUAUAGUUUCUUACAACCAUCUCAAAUGCUGCUGCAUUUUCCUCAUCUUUCCAAGCAAAAUCACAGUUUAAUUUAAGAGUGCUAAGCGGAGGUGGUUCCCAUUUGUCCGACCUCGGAGCAUUGCUUGCAAUUAUCAUCGAAGGGCCUAUUAUAGAUGGCAGUUGUUGCUGUGAAUAGGCAACUGGGUCCGCAGAGUUAUGCUAAAAAAUGACUCGCUUGCGGUCCUUCAAAAUUGCCCAGAGAGUUGGAGCAACGGAGAAGAAAAUGUCCUAUGUUCCACGGAUUUCACAUUAUCAAACAUUGGACAAAUGGAAUCCACUUUUUAACACCCUGCACCUGCAAAAUCUACCUCUUCGUCCACAGGAUUGAUGGGAGCUGGUAAGGCUGGUGCGCGUUGCCCUCCCUCAACCGGUGUAGCUCCUUGUAGAUCAUGAGGUUAACACACGAAACGGACAGAAUAGCAACCAGAUUUUUCAAGAUGCCAAAUCAAGGAGCCUGCACAUCCAGUAAGAGCUAUAGGCAUAGAAAGAAUAGCCGGAAAAUGCACAUGGCCAAAUAAAUUGUUAACCAGAUCUGUUCACUCAAGUCUACUAUGAUCAAUUAAAUCCGCCCCUGAAUUGACGUCGAGUAUUAUGAUAAUUUUUAUUUUAUUUUUACAAUAAUACAAAUUUUAUAAAAAAAUCCACUAAUUGUAGUGAUGAUUGUAGGAUUACAGCGAUGGAUGAAGUUGAAUCACUCUGGAUUAUUGGUUUUUAUACAACACAUUUUCUUUUUCCUUUAUAUAAAAAUCAAUUUUCAUCCUCUUUGAAUUUGCUUUAGAAGACGGGAAAAAAAAAGGCUAGAUAAUAGAUCUUUGCAAUCAAAAUCUUCAACAUCACAUUAAAUUACUGUACUAUAACAUCCAAUAAAUUAUUUCUAUGGCCAUCUCGCCCUUACAACUUUAUAAACCAUUGUUAUUUAGCCUAAAUCCCCAAACCUGGAAUGCAGGUGUGGCAUGUACUCCAACCCAGGCUACCUUGAUUUCAUCCGUACUUCGCUAUACAACCUGAAAAAGCUCACAAUUUUGCAACUUCUAAAUUUCAUCUAAAAAUGAGAACAGAAGAAAAACAAAACUUCAACAAUGACAAACUUGGGAACUAAAUGGCCUUCAUAACGAAAAAAUAUGCAAAUUUUAACUUCUAAUGAAAACUAAUAGCAUGACAACUGCAGAUCCAUUUGAUGAGAUCAAGAGAAGAAAAAUCUGGAACCAUUUGGAUGCAUAUAAACCAAAAAUAGCUAUACCUACUCAUCAAGGAUGCACCUAACUUGUGUUCCCUGAGAACCUUUCCACAAUAUCAACCCUUGGAGAGAGAGAGAGAGAGAGA
Molecule: unclassified non-coding RNA, 2164 nt
Filed under: Hevea brasiliensis (rubber tree)
Lineage: Eukaryota; Viridiplantae; Streptophyta; Magnoliopsida; Malpighiales; Euphorbiaceae
Source: RNAcentral